Bactrocera oleae (olive fruit fly) is the source of this 956-nucleotide long non-coding RNA. RefSeq lists it as uncharacterized. NCBI's taxonomy places the organism in Eukaryota, Metazoa, Arthropoda, Insecta, Diptera, Tephritidae. The record is from RefSeq and is a predicted model, not a curated record.
GGUGAGAUCAAUUGAAUCGAAAAUUGAGAACUAAUGGCUGAUAUCUAUUCAAUCUUCUACAUUGUUGACUAUUGUCCAGCAGUUGGAUUGCAAGUUCGGAUGGAUGACGUCGUUUCUAGUAUAAAAAUGAGGAUUUGAAUUCCAAACGAUCAGAUCGGUAUUCUCUUAUAUAUGAGUAACUUCUUCUUUUGACCAAUGUGGGAUUUUUACCUUAAGAGCCAGUACAGUUGCGGAAGCAUUAACCUCGGCUGGGUUCUCUUGAUUUUCACGUGGUUUCUCCAUCGACGGCUCUUGUCAAUAGUAGUAUUAAUGCCAAUGCUUCACUGAGUCACCGUUCUAGAACGAUCAUUGCGUUUACAGUUUCCUGUAGGCGGCAGCAGUUCGACGCGAGCAGUACAGUGUUAUCCGCACUAGUUGUCGUAAUUGUGGAGUCAUAGUUAAUUACCGGUAUAAAAAUUGUCAAAAUCGGAUCAUAACUAUUCAAGCCACCAGAUAACGAAAAUGUGAACCCCCGAAGCCUAUAAAGGAUAUCUGCCGAAUAUAUCGGCCAGUCUGUAGAGUAUAUUUUUGAAAUCUUUGAUAAUAAUACACCCUUGUGUCAAAAAUGGAUUGAAACGGAUCAAUACUUCCUUUAGCCCCCAUUUCCCUGAUAUAAAGAUUUUCGAACUUCCGGCUGACUUUAUACCACAUACCUAUAUCGGCCAAUGUGCUAGUUAUGUGAAUGAAAUUAAGGGAGCGUGUUUUCCUAAUAACGGUGUAUCUUCGUGCCUAAAAUAAAUAAAAUCUCGCGUAAACUUGUCUUAGCCCACAUAUAACUGACAUUCACGAUUUUGGAAUGUCCGGCUGACUUUGCUCCACAUAUAUGUUUAUAUUUAUAAAAUUGAUUGAAAAUAAGUUCUCAAGCAUACCUAAGCAAUGUCAAAAAAAUACAAUCAGUCCUUUCAUUUCUAUGCCCC